AGCAAUGACCGCUCAUUUUCUUCUCCACUCUCCCUUUCUUCUCGAUGGAAACCAGGGGCCAUAAUCCAUGGCCACCAACCUUCGGUCGAAACCCUUACCCAAAGCCUCCCUCAUCACUGACCAUAUUUCGUCAUCACUUCGACUAAGGGAGUCCAAAAAUCCUGAGAACAUCCGUAUAUCUCUCUUCUAUUGAAGCACUCGAAAACCCUUGGCCACCAUACACCUACCGUAAAGCGACGCUACUCUCCUUUGACCAAAAUUGCCAAGAGUCUUCACCGACGAAGAAUCUGAUGAUAGGAUGCAAGAGGGAUUUUAAAGUUACCUUUGAAGAUCGAAGGAUUUUCUGUUUUGGUGAAGAAGACCACUGUUUACUCCUCUGAGGUACUUUUGAAACGACUUCAGCAAGAAUAGAACAACUAACUUAUGGGACUCGAGUUUGCCAUUGGUCCGGGUUUACUCCAAAUCGGGUCUUUAUUUGGGUUGAAUCAAUGUUGCCUUGUUUGUGCCCCAGACACAUCGAACAUCUACACUAUGCCAAUGCAUCAUCUUAGUAGACUAAAUAGGAGAAUUAUUGCUAGUGCGUUACUAUCAUUAUUAGCUUAUUUUUGAACCUUUUGCUCAAUCACAUACUUCAAACCCUCGAUUACACACAUCUUAUACAUGCACUACAUUUAUUCACCUUUAUAAGGAAGGAGUGGCGUGGCAUCAA
This is a long non-coding RNA of Hibiscus syriacus, 709 nucleotides long. RefSeq lists it as uncharacterized. The record is from RefSeq and is a predicted model, not a curated record. The transcript has 3 exons. Lineage: Eukaryota; Viridiplantae; Streptophyta; Magnoliopsida; Malvales; Malvaceae.